This 336-nucleotide ribosomal RNA is filed under the name Triticum aestivum (bread wheat). RNAcentral's name for it is "partial small subunit ribosomal RNA". Lineage: Eukaryota; Viridiplantae; Streptophyta; Magnoliopsida; Poales; Poaceae. The record is from RNAcentral.
AUGGGUACGUCAGGCACGGCGGGCAUGUCUUCUACGACCUCGUCGGUGGCCGCCAAUGUUGAUGGCAUCAGGAUAGUUCAGUUUCAAUCGGAGUUCUACAUCCCCGAUCUGACAUUCUGUGGCCUUGAGGUUCGGUCGUCGCGACGCUGCCCUGGGCACGGGCUAAUUCCUGCUCGUCGCGUCGCGUGGGGAGGAGCAAGUUCCGGCAGAAGGUUUCUCGGCUGCCCUCUUGAUCUUCCUGAUGAAUGUGACUGGGUUGUCUGGAUUGACCCGCCAUCGACCGAACGUGUUGGUCGUGCAUUUGAGGAGCUUCAUGCAGGAUUGGAGAAGAGCUGA